AAAAUGCGAUACGUAGUGCGAUCUGCAUGAACCUGUGAGUCAUCGAGUCUUUGAACGCAACUUGCGCCACUUGUGGCAUGUCUGUUUGAGCACCAUAUACCUCUGUCGCAAGACGAACUGUCCAGUGCAUCGCUGGGCUAAAUGGUGUGAUAUCUAUCUGGGGUGCGCAGUAGCGAACCGAGCUAGAGGCUGCUGGAUGGAAUCUGCUGGCUGUUACAGGCCAGUGGACGACACCAAUCACCUUGUCGGCAAUCUACUAGGCCCCCCACACUACCGGUCUCAAAUCAGGCAAGAGUACCCGCUGAACUUAA
RNAcentral lists this unclassified non-coding RNA (311 nucleotides) under uncultured fungus. Its description in RNAcentral is "sequence contains ITS1". The stretch from base 1 to 95 matches the Rfam family "5.8S ribosomal RNA", at positions 50 to 154 of the family's 154-position model. The record is from RNAcentral. Lineage: Eukaryota; Fungi.